Molecule: long non-coding RNA, 792 nt
Organism: Zea mays
Lineage: Eukaryota; Viridiplantae; Streptophyta; Magnoliopsida; Poales; Poaceae
Exons: 2
Source: RefSeq, a predicted model, not a curated record
GAUGCAUGCAGCCUAGAUUAGCAUGAUUGGUCAUUUGGAGCACUCCACUGUAUAUUAAGUUGAUAUUUAUAACACAAUUUGAUCUGAACCAGGACUUGGUCAAAUUCAGUUAAAAUUUGGAGACUUCAAAAGUUCAUUAGGUAGCUUUGAGAAAGUUUUGGAGGUGCACCCUGAAAAUUGUGAAAGUUUGAAGGCUAUUGGUCACAUACAUGCAAAAUCUGGGGAAACUGAAAAAGCUAUAGAAACCUUCAAGGAAGUUACCCGUAUUGACCCAAAAGAUCAUCAGGUACUUGCUUCCCCCUCCCCUCAACCAUUACUUUCAUGGCUUCAUGUAUUCGGGUCAAAAGAAGUGCUGUAACAUGGUCCCAAAAUAUAAUUCUGCCACUAAUUUGUUUCUAACAUGUCAAUACAUAAAUAGUACAACUGCUUUCCAGGAUGAAUGUACUGAUGAAAUUUUCAAAUGCUCAAUCUGAACAUAAAUUACUCCAUAUGAACAUGGCAAAAAAUAUAUAUUUUUGAACACUGAAUUUUGGUCCAUCUCUGGAUCUUUGAAUGCUGAUGAUUUGCAACAAUGAAGAUGCUGAUCUAGGAUGAAGUUGAUUGAAAACUUGGAAUGCUAGCAUCUUACAGUCAGUUUUUUGUUGUCGAUUUGAUCUGUAUUUGGUCCAUGAAAGGAACACACUACAUUUGCCCUAAUGUGUAGUUUUGAUUGGUAUACAGAUUUUCUAUUGUUACCUUAAUUAUUAAUCUAUAAUGAGAAACAUUCUUUAUCUUCAUAGUUUCUCUCACGUC